Molecule: transfer RNA, 61 nt
Filed under: Antricola mexicanus
Lineage: Eukaryota; Metazoa; Arthropoda; Arachnida; Ixodida; Argasidae
Description: tRNA-His
Source: RNAcentral
UCUAAUUAGUUUAUUUAAAAUAUUAAAUUGUGGAUUUAAUGAAGUGGUUUUACAUUGGAUA